This 70-nucleotide transfer RNA is filed under the name Camelus bactrianus (Bactrian camel). It matches the Rfam family "tRNA". Rfam says of the family: Transfer RNA (tRNA) molecules are approximately 80 nucleotides in length. Lineage: Eukaryota; Metazoa; Chordata; Mammalia; Artiodactyla; Camelidae. RNAcentral also lists the same sequence under 1 other name. The record is from Rfam by way of RNAcentral.
GGGUGUAGCUCAGUGGUAGAGCACAUGCUUAGCAUGCAUGAGGUCCUGGGUUCAAUCUCCAGUACAGCCA